This 512-nucleotide ribosomal RNA is filed under the name uncultured bacterium. RNAcentral's name for it is "bacterial SSU rRNA". It matches the Rfam family "Bacterial small subunit ribosomal RNA", at positions 36 to 518 of the family's 1533-position model. The record is from RNAcentral.
CUGGCGGCGUGCCUAAUACAUGCAAGUCGAACGGUCUUUCUAUGGAAGCUUGCUUCCACUGAGAAGAUAGUGGCGAACGGGUGAGUAACACGUGGGUAACCCUGCCCAUAAGAGGGGGGAUAACAUCCGGAAACGGGUGCUAAUACCGCAUAGUUUUCUUGAUCGCAUGAUCGGGAAAGGAAAGACGGCCUUUGUGCUGUCGCUUAUGGAUGGACCCGCGGCGUAUUAGUUAGUUGGUGAGGUAACGGCUCACCAAGACGAUGAUACGUAGCCGACCUGAGAGGGUGAUCGGCCACAUUGGGACUGAGACACGGCCCAAACUCCUACGGGAGGCAGCAGUAGGGAAUCUUCCGCAAUGGACGAAAGUCUGACGGAGCAACGCCGCGUGAGUGAAGAAAAGGUUUUCGGAUCGUAAAACUCUGUUGUCAGAGAAGAACAAGUUGGAGAGUAACUGCUCCAGCCUUGACGGUAUCUGACCAGAAAGCCACGGCUAACUACGUGCCAGCAGCCGC